Molecule: ribosomal RNA, 254 nt
Filed under: uncultured bacterium
Lineage: Bacteria
Description: partial 16S ribosomal RNA
Rfam family: Bacterial small subunit ribosomal RNA
Source: RNAcentral
UACGUAGGGGGCAAGCGUUGUCCGGAUUUAUUGGGCGUAAAGAGCUCGUAGGUGGUUCGGUAAGUCGGAUGUGAAAUCUCCAGGCUCAACCUGGAGGGGUCAUUCGAUACUGCCGUGACUAGAGGUCGGUAGGGGAGCGUGGAAUUCCUGGUGGAGCGGUGAAAUGCGCAGAUAUCAGGAGGAACACCCGUAGCGAAGGCGGCACUCUGGGCCGAUACUGACACUGAGGAGCGAAAGCGUGGGGAGCGAACAGG